RNAcentral lists this ribosomal RNA (465 nucleotides) under uncultured bacterium. RNAcentral's name for it is "partial 16S ribosomal RNA". It matches the Rfam family "Bacterial small subunit ribosomal RNA", at positions 339 to 795 of the family's 1533-position model. The record is from RNAcentral.
CUACGGGUUGCUGCAGUGGGGAAUAUUGGACAAUGGGGGAAACCCUGAUCCAGCAAUGCCGCGUGUGUGAAGGAGGCCUGCGGGUUGUAAAGCACUUUCGGUUGGGAGGACUGCUUCUAGCACUAAUAUUGUUGGAAGUUGACGUUACCUUCAGAAGAAGCACCGGCUAACUCCGUGCCAGCAGCCGCGGUAACACGGAGGGUGCAAGCGUUAAUCGGAAUUACUGGGCGUAAAGCGCGCGUAGGCGGCUAGAUCAGUCGGGUGUGAAAGCCCCGGGCUUAACCUGGGAACUGCAUCCGAUACUGUCUAGCUUGAGUACAGGAGAGGAGAGUGGAAUUCCACAUGUAGCGGUGAAAUGCGUAGAUAUGUGGAGGAACACCAAUGGCGAAGGCAGCUCUCUGGCCUGAUACUGACGCUGAGGUGCGAAAGCGUGGGGAGCAAACAGGAUUAGAUACCCCGGUAGUC